Acanthosepion pharaonis is the source of this 109-nucleotide non-coding RNA. The record is from the annotation of a GenBank genome assembly. Lineage: Eukaryota; Metazoa; Mollusca; Cephalopoda; Sepiida; Sepiidae.
GCUACAUCAUGUUGGAACACCAGUUCCCAUACAAUCGCCAAAGUUAAGCAAUAUUGAACCUGGUCAGUACCUAGAUGAGUGACCACAUGAGAAUACCAGGUGCUGUAAG